Syzygium oleosum is the source of this 3860-nucleotide long non-coding RNA. RefSeq lists it as uncharacterized. NCBI's taxonomy places the organism in Eukaryota, Viridiplantae, Streptophyta, Magnoliopsida, Myrtales, Myrtaceae. The transcript is spliced from 2 exons. The record is from RefSeq and is a predicted model, not a curated record.
ACAAAAGAAAUUAGUGCUGUGAUUGCGGUCUUACCCGCCAUUGGAAAGUAAUCAAAAGCUGUCGGGGAUUAGUUUCUCGGGUAUGCAUCGGUCCGUCUGCAGUGUACACCAAUCUAGUUCUGGGUAUCAAUCCAAAUCAAGGUGCUGAUACAGCUUCGGUAAUUGCUCAGAAAUUCAGGUCUCUCCAGCAACAUUUUUUUGGCUUUUGACGGUUCGGACGAACCUGCACGUGACUUAGGGUGGACAAUAAUGGGACAACUUCGUUUGAAAUUGUCUAUCUGUAGUUUCUAGACAGGCCGAUCUAAUAUCAUAAUGGUGCUCGGCAUCUUUUUCAGGCUUUAGUGGGGGGCAUCAUUCGUCGUCAGACACUACGGUCCAACCAACCCGGGGGGCACGCCUCCCUCCCUUUCAUCAAAUUGGCUUUUUUAACUUUCGCUUUAAACAGUGGGGGUCGGGGUUUCAGUCGUGACAAGGACGACUCCGCGUUCCCGAGAAGCAUCCACCAUCCGCCAUUCAAUACAAGACCAGAAAAGUGGUUGGCGGAGUUGAAAUGGCAUCCAAUGUCUUGUUCUUUUAUAAAAACCCCCCACUAACAUAUAUCUUUCAGUUCACACGGGGAGGAGAGAGAGAGAUGAGAGGAAGAGAAGCGGGGGAAAGAAAGAUGCAGCGUCGGGGAGUGCAUGGAAUGGAAGGGUAGGAAAAACGGUGACUGAGUGGAUGGCGUUUGCUCUCUUUCCUAUUCCUCCCAUUCCAUACACUCCUUUGCCUCCUUCCUUUCCCUUCCCCUUCUCCCGUUUUCGAUGGACAUCGCAGUCUUCCGUUCAUCACCCAAAACCUAAGAAAAACAAGAAAGACAGGUAACCCACAAACACAGAUCUGAGUGAUCGAGAGAGAGAGUGAGAGAGAGAGACGAAGAGAGGGAAAGGGAGAGAGGGUCUCAGGAAGUUGUGGGCAUGGGUCGUUUGGUGAGAGGAAUCGCUCUCGGUUGUCAUGCACAGAUGUGUUAUGGAGGGUGAGUUUUCUUGCCAAUACCACCCAUGCCAAUAAUUUCCUGCUUUUCCUCCCUUUCCCUUCUUUUCCCCAGAGCUUUUGACGGCCAUGGCAAAAAGGUUUGUUCGUUUAUCUCUCAGAUCCAUGCUCUCUCUCUCUGUGUCUGCACAUGUUUCAUGUAUAUCUGUACCGAGUAAUGGCUCAAGGGUUUCUUGAUAUGUGUGGGUAGUGUAGAUCUGUCCUUUUGUAGCUGUUUUGCUUUGAUUCAAUUCGUUUUAUGCUUUUUCUCUUUAUCAUUUCAGUUUAUAGAUCUGGGUCUUAGACAUAUAUAUGUGGGCGAGAAGUUGUGUGAACUCAGCUUGUGGUGGAGCUCAAACCAUCUGAAUCAAAAACACUUUAGAUCAUCUGGAGUCUGACAGACGAGCUAGAUGAUCUAAUCUGUCAGAUGUGUUGGGUUUACAUGAGCGAGAGAAUCUUGCAUGGACGUGGAUCGGAUCUAUUACCGCCGUUGAUUAUGUUGUCGAUCUUUGCAUGAUCAAUGGCUGUGAUGGACUCGGUCUAGUGGAUCCGAGUUUAGGUAAGUUUUUCUCUCGGGCUGAUUCGUUCAUGAGUAUCAUCGAAAAUAAGGUGUCGAACACUUCCAGGAUACACUUGUUGGACACUUGUGGUAAGGUACAACUAUGCAAUGCGAUGUCGUGAGUGUAAAGAACGUUAUAACGCCGUCCAAUUGUUUCAAGACUUGCGAUGUAUCCUCGCAAUCAAUCGUUAAAAAUUGUUGUAGCAAAACAUAAGUGUAUGAUACGCUACUGUCCUCCUGUUGAUUGUCUAAAUAUCAUAUGCUUAAAGUUCCCCUAAUAAUAGUCCAAACGCUCAAAUUUUUAGAUAUUCGAAAUAAGAAUGAAAAGUGAUUUGAUAAUAGAUGCAAAUCAUGUAAUAGAUUUCGUCUAUUUUAUUAAAUAUGAAUAGUGGACACAAUCGAAAAAGCUUGAUGAUAGAUGAUUAGAUUUUGAUUUACAUUGAGUAUUUAUAUGGUGCAUUAAACCCUAAUAUUUACUAAUCAAAUAAGGGUAUUGUUAAUAAGUGCCCCAUUAAAACUUGUUAAUCAAACCUAAUAAAGAAAGGUUCUCAUUUUCCAUACAUCAAUAGCACAUAACACGGGGAAAGUGGUGCUAUGGAAAUGACGUGGCUUUAUUUGUGUGGAUGUUUAACAAGUGUUUUCGGGGCACUCGUUAACAAAAUUCAUUGAAAUAAAAUGGUGAAAUUUGAUCUAUACUUGGUACCGUGACCCGGGCCUACGCUCACCCCGUGUCGAUAACCAUUUGUUCAUCCAUUGGAUGUCCUAUCCCAUCUCGUGGAUCACGGUGAAGAAUUUUUGACACUAUUUGCACACUAUAAUAUUGACCAUAUACGAGAAAUUUUAUUGCCCAACUCCGGUACAUUGACAUUCAAACCGGCCGUACGUCAUCUCGUUCCGAGUGGGUAAAGGUCAAGGAGCAGAAGAGUUUGUCGAACCGUAAAUACAAUUUUAAGAGAUUGGUGUAAAAGUCUCGUUGUAUGUCCUAUAUAUACACCAUGAUCUACCUGGUAUUUCAACUUUUUUUUUUAUUUGAAAAAGCGGUAUUAUGUUGACCUACGGCUAUAAUAUUUGUCUGAGCAAAUAUAUAUGUUUACAAAAAAUUACGUGUGCGUAUUUGAAAUGAUAUGACGGUCGUUGGUCAAAAUUGCCAGACAGCUACAAUGUAGUUGCGGGACAUGGGCCUAAGAUGGGCUGGCACGGUACGGCCCGUUACGACACGGUCCAAUGGCCAUCCCUAUAAGUAUAACCUAGAGCAUAUUAACAGUUCCCAGUCCCGUUUUCGCCUUUCUGGGGAGACUUGGCAAUACCAAUGUGUAAUGUGUGGACUCUUGAUUGGGAUAAGGGGCGCUCAACUCGUUUUAUAAGAUAAGAGAGCACCGCGCUUCGAGAGAAGGAAAGAAAAUAAAGAAAGGUAAAAGAAGAGAGAGGGACAAGGGAAAAGAGGGUUUUGCGCGUACACGCCACGGAAACCUCGCCAAGCCGAAUUUUCUUCGGUUCGCAACGCUCCGUGAGGACUUGAGUUAUUUGUUCGUCUAAUCGGAAUAGUUUUCGGAAUUAGGACGCAAAUUCGAAAUUACGUGAUAUCUGAAUUGCGAAAUCCGAUUUCGACUUCGUAAUUCAAAUUUCAUAUGACUUUGAAUUUGUGCCCUAAUUGCAAAAAUUAUUCCGAUUAAACAAAUAAAUGGCUUGAAUUUUUUGCGGGCGUUGCGAAUCAAAGUAAAUCCAGCUUGGAGAGGUCUCCGUGGCGUGUACGUGAUAAGUCCUCUUUUCCUUUUUCCUCUCUCUACUUUCUUUUCUUUUUCCUUCUCUUUAAGCGUACUCUCUGUCUUAUAAAUAAGCCGAGUGUCCAUUUUUCCCUUCUUUGACGAGACUUUUUUCUCUUUAUAUUUUUUUUUGGCUCCUACCCUUUGAUCCAAUUUGGGGUAUUUUUUUUUUACCUCAAAUUGGCAAUCUCUCAAAAUUAUUGUGGAGAUGGACUCGCAAGAAGUAUUUGCACUACUUUAGAAACAAACUAUCUCUCACUGUUUUAGGGAAGAAAAUUCAUGUGAAGAUUGGUUGGCAAAUUGGAUCAUUCAAUCCUACGAUGUAAAUGCCACUUCGGCAUUGGAUAGGCAUAGGUUUAAUUCGCCUAUUAUAGUAAGAUCAGUCUAAUUUAAAUUUUGUUAGGCAAGUGUUAAUCUAAUAAUCGGGUUUUGCCCAUUUUCUUACCCAAUAACAAAGUCUUAAAAGAAAUUUCGUCAUUGAAAUUUGAAUUUACCUCUACUUUCAAACAAAUGAAGGUAUUUGUGCCUCA